Molecule: long non-coding RNA, 1577 nt
Organism: Arachis stenosperma
Lineage: Eukaryota; Viridiplantae; Streptophyta; Magnoliopsida; Fabales; Fabaceae
Exons: 5
Source: RefSeq, a predicted model, not a curated record
CAUCAACGUCUCCUUCUACAUCUGUAUAUGAAUUCUUCGAUUCAUUUUGCUUGCUGCAAUGUAUUCCCUUGGGGUUUUUUUUUUGCUGCAAGAGUGCUUUCAUUGAAACAUUUAGAGAGCGCAUGUUUAAGCCUUCCUUGUCAACUAUAGUUGGUGAAAAUUCAAAGUUAAAAGUAGCUCUGGAACUGUAAAUGAUGUGGCAAACUCAAUUAUGCAAAAAUUUUGGGACUCAGCGUUAGCGCUAGAGCCACCAGAUGAUUAUGACACUCAGAAAUACUUUGGUUGUAUCUAUUUUACUUCAGUAUACAAUUUGUUUUGGCCAUUUAACAAGCAUUUAUGUUUGGUCGCAGUGAAGUUUCCGGGAUAAUGAAUUCAGAUGGAGCACAUACUGCAAAGUCUACAUACCAAUCUGUAGGUCAUGGAAAUUCAUUUACUUUUAAAUUUGAGGAUCCUAAUGGUCAAGUGCAUCGAGUCACCUGUGGAGCGAAAAAUCUAGAUUAGCUUGUAUCUGCUAUCAUGGAAAGGGUCAGUAAUAAUGACAGAUCACGCCCCGUAAUUUUGUAUGAUGACGAUGAAGGUGAUAAAAUUGUUAUUGCAAACGAUAGUGAUCUCGUUUCUGCUGUCAGCUAUGCUCGAUCUGCAGGACUGAAGGUGAAGAUUAUGCUUUUACAAGCUAUUGUCUCGGUUUCCAUGGUUUAAUUCUUAUUUGGUGUAUGCAUUUAAGCAUCUUUGGCCUUGAAGUUGGAUUUGGGAGUUUACAGAUUCAGCUAAACCCGUGACACCGCAAUCUGCAAUAGCCAUGACCACAACUACAGCUACGAGACGGAGAACAGAAGUUCAGCUAAACCCGUGACACCGCAGUCUGCAAUAGCCAUGACCACAACUACAGCUACGAGACGGAGAACAGAAGGCGGCAUGUUGUCCAUUUGCUCGAGUAUUUUUGCAGGUGCUGUUGUUCUAACGAGCAUUGGCGUGGUGGCUUACUUGAAGCGCUCAAAUCAGUGAUUUCUUCACCAGUUGGAAAACACAUCAGGCAGUAAAAAUUCAUAUACAAUAAGAACUAAACACAACAACAGAUGCAUAAGGAGACGUUGAUGGAGAGAACCACAUUGAGGGGAGGCCAACGAAGUUUUAGGGUUUAAACAUGAAGCCAGGGACUACAUUGGGGAAUUUUACAACACAAUCCACGUCAUCUGUACACUCUGACAUCCAACGUGACAGUAGCUGUGCCACAUAAGCAAGGCCGUCGCUGAGUCACGCCGGAAAUUCACCGAAGGACCAUUAUGGUGCCCGAAUCGCAAUCUGGAGGACAUAAAUAGUGUAAUUGGAAUCUCAGGGGCUAAAUUGGUGCACGGGCUGAAUCUAGGGGACCAUUAUGGGGAUUUAGUCGCUUUCUUUGACUACUGAUGAUUGAUUGUCUUUAGACUAAGAAAUUCCCUCAAACAGUUUAUAAUGCUUAGUCAUCGGAAAAAAAAAAUAAAAAAAGAACUAAAAAAUGUCUUAACAAACAAUAUUUUGUAUGCAUCUGCAAUAUAAUAUUUUAAGUGUAAUUAACUGUACAAAUAAAGAUGAUAAUA